This 722-nucleotide ribosomal RNA is filed under the name Priestia aryabhattai. RNAcentral describes it as "bacterial SSU rRNA". It matches the Rfam family "Bacterial small subunit ribosomal RNA", at positions 733 to 1454 of the family's 1533-position model. The record is from RNAcentral. Lineage: Bacteria; Bacillati; Bacillota; Bacilli; Caryophanales; Bacillaceae.
UCUGUAACUGACGCUGAGGCGCGAAAGCGUGGGGAGCAAACAGGAUUAGAUACCUGGUAGUGCACGCCGUAAACGAUGAGUGCUAAGUGUUAGAGGGUUUCCGCCCUUUAGUGCUGCAGCUAACGCAUUAAGCACUCCGCCUGGGGAGUACGGUCGCAAGACUGAAACUCAAAGGAAUUGACGGGGGCCCGCACACGCGGUGGAGCAUGUGGUUUAAUUCGAAGCAACGCGAAGAACCUUACCAGGUCUUGACAUCCUCUGACAACUCUAGAGAUAGAGCGUUCCCCUUCGGGGGACAGAGUGACAGGUGGUGCAUGGUUGUCGUCAGCUCGUGUCGUGAGAUGUUGGGUUAAGUCCCGCAACGAGCGCAACCCUUGAUCUUAGUUGCCAGCAUUUAGUUGGGCACUCUAAGGUGACUGCCGGUGACAAACCGGAGGAAGGUGGGGAUGACGUCAAAUCAUCAUGCCCCUUAUGACCUGGGCUACACACGUGCUACAAUGGAUGGUACAAAGGGCUGCAAGACCGCGAGGUCAAGCCAAUCCCAUAAAACCAUUCUCAGUUCGGAUUGUAGGCUGCAACUCGCCUACAUGAAGCUGGAAUCGCUAGUAAUCGCGGAUCAGCAUGCCGCGGUGAAUACGUUCCCGGGCCUUGUACACACCGCCCGUCACACCACGAGAGUUUGUAACACCCGAAGUCGGUGGAGUAACCGUAAGGAGCUAGCC